AACGGUCUAUACCUGCGGUACCUGCGGAGGGAUCAUUAAUGUGAUAUAAUCUUAUGAGUGUGAAGUGGUGGCUGUGAGGGGGUGAGCGGGGGGGUGAUGGUGCUGUGCCUGAGGUGCGUUGUGCCUGAUGGUGUGUGCGCCUGAUGGUGUGUGCGCCUGAUGGUGUGUGCGCCGUUGCCGCCUCAGCUUGCUCCGUGCAGCCACUGGAUAACCAGCAUUGUGUGACGUGUAACCAAACUA
Molecule: unclassified non-coding RNA, 240 nt
Filed under: soil metagenome
Description: partial contains 5.8S ribosomal RNA, internal transcribed spacer 2, and large subunit ribosomal RNA
Source: RNAcentral